GAUGAACGCUGGCGGCGUGCCUAAUACAUGCAAGUCGAGCGAACAGACGAGGAGCUUGCUCCUCUGACGUUAGCGGCGGACGGGUGAGUAACACGUGGAUAACCUACCUAUAAGACUGGGAUAACUUCGGGAAACCGGAUCUAAUACCGGAUAAUAUAUUGAACCGCAUGGUUCAAUAGUGAAAGACGGUUUUGCUGUCACUUAUCGAUGGAUCCGCGCCGCAUUAGCUAGUUGGUAAGGUAACGGCUUACCAAGGCAACGAUGCGUAUCCGACCUGAGAGGGUGAUCGGCCACACUGGAACUGAGACACGGUCCAGACUCCUACGGGAGGCAGCAGUAUGGAAUCUUCCGCAAUGGGCGAAAGCCUGACGGAGCAACGCCGCGUGAGUGACGAAGGUCUUCGGAUCGUAAAGCUCUGUUAUUAGGGAAGAACAAAUGUGUAAGUAACUAUGCACGUCUUGACGGUACCUAAUCAGAAAGCCACGGCUAACUACGUG
Molecule: ribosomal RNA, 497 nt
Filed under: uncultured bacterium
Lineage: Bacteria
Description: partial 16S ribosomal RNA
Rfam family: Bacterial small subunit ribosomal RNA
Source: RNAcentral